GGGAAGAGGGAGGAGUGUAAGAGGAGGGACCCCACCAGGGCCACCCUGGCAAGGGAGAGGAGGCCCGAGGCACAGCCCAGAACCAGGCCUCCAUCAGUGUGGGUAUAGUUGGGGGCACCCAGGGCCAGGCCCAGCCCGUCUCCAAAAAGCCUGUCUGGUAAGCGUGGGUUGCCACCAUGCCAGGGGCUGGAGGUCUGAGAACAAGGCUGCAGGCUGGCGGGGGAAGGGCGGGAUGACCUUCAAGGAAGGGGGCUCCUUCACCAGGGGCCUGGCUCCGGCCCUCUCCUCACCAGGGCCAUGAGCCAAACACAGAGCAGUCACCCCCAUUCUCACCCCUGGUGGCCUCCCUCCCUGCUUUCUUUCCCACUCAUCGCCAGACUGGGUUCUCUGUCCUCUACAGGAAUCAGCUUAUCCCUACUUCCAGGUCUCUUCCCUGCAGAAUCCACCCCCCACCCACCCCCACACACGUGCCCACUGCAAAAGAGCCAGACUACGGACCCACCACUGGUGCCUGCACUGGUGCCCCAGCUCCCCCACCUGAAAUAAAAGCAGUCGAUGAAACAAGA
Long non-coding RNA from Herpailurus yagouaroundi (jaguarundi), 566 nucleotides. RefSeq lists it as uncharacterized. The record is from RefSeq and is a predicted model, not a curated record. NCBI's taxonomy places the organism in Eukaryota, Metazoa, Chordata, Mammalia, Carnivora, Felidae. The transcript has 2 exons.